This 249-nucleotide ribosomal RNA is filed under the name Pneumocystis sp. Its description in RNAcentral is "partial large subunit ribosomal RNA". It matches the Rfam family "Bacterial large subunit ribosomal RNA", at positions 832 to 1063 of the family's 2925-position model. Lineage: Eukaryota; Fungi; Ascomycota; Pneumocystomycetes; Pneumocystales; Pneumocystaceae. The record is from RNAcentral.
AUCGGACUAGAAUAUAGCUGGUUUUCUGCGAAAUUUGUAUUAGCAAAGGGUUUAUCUUUAAAUAAGAGGUAGGUAUAGCACUGGAUAUUCAUUAAAAAUAAAGAGGGAGUAUUAUCGUACUUAUCUCGGAUAUCUAACCUCAGAAUGACUUCUUAAAUCGGAUAAAUUCUGGGACUUUUUGCGAGAAGGUGGAAAGUCGAGAGGGAAACAGCCCAGAACAAUACUUAAAGCUCCUUAAUAAAUAUUUAU